RNAcentral lists this long non-coding RNA (318 nucleotides) under Eucalyptus grandis. Its description in RNAcentral is "long non-coding RNA (EGRA_LNC003041)". Lineage: Eukaryota; Viridiplantae; Streptophyta; Magnoliopsida; Myrtales; Myrtaceae. The record is from RNAcentral.
UUAGGCCAAUGGGUCUAAGGCCCAUUCGAAUUUUAACCCCUUUUUCCUUCUUCUUUUUUUGAAUUCCUUUCUAUAAUUAUUUCAAAAUUCAAAUUCUAUCUUGGCCAAAGUCUUGGGGCAUUUUAUUCAUUGAAAUUUAAUUUUUAAAGCACAUGGCCAAGCAUAAAUUAUUAAUCUAUCGAAUUUGAAUUUUUACAACCAUAAGCACAAAUCAUCCAAUUAAAAGACUAAUGGCUAAAACAUAAGCCAUAGAAAUUCGAUCACCUAAUUAAAGACUUUAACACACCUUAUGGCUUGGCUUUGAAUUUUUGGGAUGCC